Molecule: transfer RNA, 72 nt
Filed under: Bos taurus (domestic cattle)
Lineage: Eukaryota; Metazoa; Chordata; Mammalia; Artiodactyla; Bovidae
Also listed under: 2 other names
Rfam family: tRNA
About the family: Transfer RNA (tRNA) molecules are approximately 80 nucleotides in length. Their secondary structure includes four short double-helical elements and three loops (D, anti-codon, and T loops).
Source: Rfam by way of RNAcentral
UCCCUUGUGGCUCAGCUGGUAAAGAAUCUGCCUGCAAUGCAGAAGACCUGGGUUCAAUCCCUGGAUUGGGAA